This 3432-nucleotide long non-coding RNA is filed under the name Homo sapiens (human). RNAcentral describes it as "HSALNT0181500". Lineage: Eukaryota; Metazoa; Chordata; Mammalia; Primates; Hominidae. The record is from RNAcentral.
AAGGGAAGUCCAGAGCUGAGAUUCUAGUCUAGGCUGUCUCUUCCCUCCCACUUUGCAGGUACCCAUUCCAGACUGAGGAGCAGGUAAGUCUCCUGGCUUUAUGCAGAAACACAAAUAUUGAUUUACCAACAAGUCAAAUAUUUUCCCCUCCUUGGAAUGCUCCUAAGCUGGAGGCACUUGGACAUCUUGGGCCUCUGCUACUUCAUUUACACUGGUUUUCCAUUGACCUGAAUGGGUGGGCCAGUGACUAUUUGCAAGGUUGGUUGGGAAGGGUUGGCUCUCAGCUUGGGAUUCCUAGAACAGGUGCACUUGGGGGCCUCCUCUUGGCCUCCACCUCUGCGGAUCCCAGGGCCAAUCUUUUGUCUCAACCCAUUUUCUCAGGAACUCAUCUAAGAGAGCUACCCCCUGGCGGGAGUAAGCUACCAUCUCCAAGGGCCAGCACAGAACUUUGGGAGUGCCAAUUGUGGAGAGAAGGGGGUGUUAGGAGAGAUCGUCCCAGAGGAUUACAGUGACAGGACACUUAGCCCUCCUCACAGGCACGAGUUUGGAAUAAUUACCCAGGGCAGACUCUCUGAAAGAGGAGGUAAGCUGGCUAAGGCUCUUAGAAGGCAGGCCUGAUGACAUUGUUAUGUAUCAGUCCAAGGCUCAGGACGCGGCGGGGUCAGGUAUUAGCUGAUUAUCUGAUUCUGUCAGCAGAGAGCUUUCAGUGAGUCCACAGAGCCAGCCCCCAGAUUUCCGCACAGAAACGCUAAGCUUAGACACCUGCAAAGGAGUCCUCGUGUGAAGUUCUGCCCCUGGAAGGUGUCCUGGGUACUUACAGUAUCAGCACUGGAGGCAGAUCCUGCAGCUCCGAAACACCCUCCAAGCUUCACGUUGCCACACGGUUCUGGGAGAUGAGGCCAUGGCAAUCUGUGGCUUCCCUUGCUCCUGAACUUGAGCCUCUGAUUCCCUCUCCUGUUGGAGGCUUUAACACGGUCAGUCUACAGACACCAGUUUUGGCUGUUGAAAAGCUUUCCACCUCCAACCCUGCUGGGGGUGGAAGAGAAGGACAGAAGGGGAGUGAGGAAGAGCCACUUCUGUGACAGAAAUCAAAGCCAAGGCAGGCAGACAUGUAGGUGGACUUGAGCGGCAAUUAAUUCUUUUCAAUCAGGAGAGAGGCCCAAAUGACAAGAGGAGGCACUAAAUUUAGACAUAAAGAAGAACUUACUUGGUUUUGAAGGUUAGCCAGGAUACCUCUAAUAAUUGUGUUAUAAUAAAUAUAAUUUUAUUAUUUACUAUAUUUACUGUUCUAUCAACUUUUCUUUUUCUCUUCUUUUCUUUUUUCUUUUUGAGACAGAGUCUGACUGUGUCACCCAGGCUGGAGUGCAGUGGCGUGAUCUCGGCUUACUACAACCUCUGCCUCCUGGGUUCAAGCAAUUCUCCUGCCUCAGCCUCCAGAGUAGCUGGGAUUACAGCACCCCUCCCACAAGCUAGCAGGAGGGUGGAAGUGAGGAUGAAGGAUCCUUGUGGAAGCUGAGUCCAGCCCAGGAUGCCUCUGCCCACUUCUGCUCUGCUCUUAGCACAGGUGCCUGGCUCCCACCUGUUGAGUUACAGGCCACUGACUUCCAAGUCAGGCCAGGAGGUCAGUCAUCUUUUCCACCGAUCCUCUGCCCUGAGCUGAGUUAUCUCGCACAAGUGGUACCCACUGGACCCCGUAGCUCUGGCCCUGCUGGAACUCCCUCGCAGCUUAGCAGGGGUUUUAAAUCUGGCCCAUGAGGCCUUGUCAGUUUCAAGAGCCCCCCCUGACCUUUUAAUAAACAUUUCCUUUGUUAUCAGAAUUAUUUCCUAAUUCAUUCCCUUCUGUCCCUGAAAAUCUAAAUCCUAUUUAAGUUAAUGCCCUUCAUUUUCAUUUAUAAAGACAGAUACAAAAUAAUUAUUUCCUAUCUCCGUGGUUUCCUUAUCUCCCGUCCUAAUAAUGCCUUCAGCAGAUGAACAUUCCCUGUCAGUUGAAACAGUUGGAGUGUUUGUUUUUUUCACUCUUUAAAGAAGAAAAAUAAAAUGCUUUCUCAGGCUUUGUCUCUUCUCUUCUCCUCUCUCCUCUUUUCUCUUUCUGCCUUUCUCGGCUCUUUUCUUCUCACUAUCUGCUUUUCUCCCGGGCGCCCCCUCUCCCUCUUCUGACCCCCACAGUGACCCUUUCUCUCCCUCUCCUGCACCCUCUCCUGCUGUCCUGGCCCUUGCCCAGCCCAGUGUUGCUGGGCGCCUCUCAUUUUCCUGUCCGUAGUGCAAUUUCUCUGCGGCCUCACAUCUGAAUUUCAUCAGCCCAUGAGCCUGCCUUUGAGCUCAGGUCCCCCCAGCUAGUAAAACUGGUUUGGAUGAGCAGACGCAGUCUCGAAAAGAAACAUUCUUUGGUUUCCUCUCAUGACAACUAGUGAGCAGAGAAUUCACAGUUCCCUUCUCCGGGCGCCUCUUUGAAGUGUUUGAUUGAAAGGAGAGGGGAUGGAAAGGAAUGGGGUGAUGGGGGUUGGUAGUGGCGGGAACAAGGAUUCCAGCUUUAACUAGCAACUCUGAAACCAGCGACCCAGACUUCCGGCGACCCUCUCUGUUCCUUGCCCAUCUGGGUAGGGGAGAUGCUGACUGAUUUUUGGCUAUCUGCACCAGAUCCAGUCUUCCACCCUCCUCUCUUUUGUUUUCCAGUAAAACUCAACACACAAUUUAAAUCCAGGGUUUGGGAGAAAGUCAUUAAUAGAGUAGCUGAUUUUAAGGGAACUGGUUCUGUUCUCAGAAAGCAGUUGUUCAAAUCCUAACCAUUAGCACAUGCUGAAUGCCUUCUAUAUGCCAGCUAUGUAAAUGAUUUCAUUUACUUCUCAUGAGGACCCUGUGACCUAGCAGCUACUGUUUCCCCAUUGUAUGGAUGAGGAAACUGAGGCUCAGAAAGACUGGGAAACUUGCUCACAGCCCUCGACCAGCAGAGGUACAACCAGGCCUCGAAUCCAGGUUUUGCUUCAUAUCCCUCACUCUCUGACAUACAGGCCUUCAAGAGAAAGGAUUUCUGUCACUCCUCUGGCUUUAAAGUCUUUGUCAAGGCCAAGAAGGAACUAUGAAGAACUCUUCUGUGACGGUAUCUAACAGGUGGUCUCUGAGCUCUUUUAUCUUUGGUAGAGAAUGCAGAUUACUAGGCACAAAGAUUUAAAAAAACCCACGAGAGAAAAAUGUUUGAAAGCAUGGUGCUACAGAGAGGUCAAGGACUAAUGGAUGGGGAACGGAAUGUACCUACAUCAAGUCCCUUCAUUUUAUAGUCAGGGAAACUGAGGCCUAGCAAGAGCUGGGUCUCACUCCUGCCUUCACUUAGCUCAGCAGCUAAGACUUGCUGAACCCACAAAGAGCUUUCCUUCAUCAUCUGGAGGGAGAUACGGAAGCCACCUAGGGGUUACCCCAGAGAGGCCAGGAGACUUA